UCUUCUCAACCCUUCUGUCUUUUUCAUUAAAGGCAGCUGGGCUUGGACUUGGAGGUCUUGCAGGCGUCCGAAUUUUUAAUUCGGAAGUCAGCUCCUCUGAAAUGCAUUAGCUUGAAUAGAACCAAGCAUGAUUCAGCGUGAUAAUUGUCUACGUUGCUUCAUCUCGGUGAAUUUACUGUUCAAGCUUCUAACCGUCCCUUGGGACAAUCUCUGAAC
RNAcentral lists this unclassified non-coding RNA (216 nucleotides) under Steccherinum ochraceum. RNAcentral's name for it is "partial internal transcribed spacer 2". The record is from RNAcentral. Lineage: Eukaryota; Fungi; Basidiomycota; Agaricomycetes; Polyporales; Steccherinaceae.